RNAcentral lists this ribosomal RNA (253 nucleotides) under uncultured bacterium. RNAcentral's name for it is "partial 16S ribosomal RNA". It matches the Rfam family "Bacterial small subunit ribosomal RNA", at positions 524 to 776 of the family's 1533-position model. The record is from RNAcentral.
UACAGAGGUCUCAACCGUUGUUCGGAUUCAUUGGGCGUAAAGGGUGCGUAGGCGGCGCGGUAAGUCGGAUGUGAAAUCUCGGGGCUUAACUCCGAAACUGCAUUCGAUACUGCCGUGCUUGAGGACUGGAGAGGAGACUGGAAUUUACGGUGUAGCGGUGAAAUGCGUAGAUAUCGUAAGGAAGACCAGUGGCGAAGGCGGGUCUCUGGACAGUUCCUGACGCUGAGGCACGAAGGUCAGGGGAGCAAACGGG